RNAcentral lists this ribosomal RNA (402 nucleotides) under uncultured bacterium. RNAcentral's name for it is "bacterial SSU rRNA". It matches the Rfam family "Bacterial small subunit ribosomal RNA", at positions 30 to 419 of the family's 1533-position model. The record is from RNAcentral.
AUUGAACGCUGGCGGCGUGCCUAACACAUGCAAGUCGAGCGGUAACAGGUGUAGCAAUACAUGCUGACGAGCGGCGAACGGGUGAGUAAUGCUUCGGAAUCUGCCCAUGUAGUGGGGAAUAACCAGCCGAAAGGUUGGCUAAUACCGCAUACGACCCUUGCCCACAAGGCAAAGGUGAAAGCAGGGGAUCGCAAGACCUUGCGCUAUUGGAUGAGCCGAAGUCGGAUUAGCUAGUUGGUAGGGUAACGGCCUACCAAGGCGACGAUCCGUAGCUGGUCUGAGAGGACGACCAGCACACUGGGACUGAGACACGGCCCAGACUCCUACGGGAGGCAGCAGUGGGAAUAUUGGACAAUGGGGCAACCCUGAUCCAGCGACGCCGCGUGUGUGAAGAAGGCCUGC